Molecule: long non-coding RNA, 21176 nt
Organism: Columba livia (rock pigeon)
Lineage: Eukaryota; Metazoa; Chordata; Aves; Columbiformes; Columbidae
Exons: 11
Source: RefSeq, a predicted model, not a curated record
UCCUGAGGAGCUGACAUCGCAGGCUCCUGUUUCCAGCCCCUCCAGCCAUUUCGAAGCGUCCCACCCGAUGUGGCGGAUUGAAUUCUCACGCCAGUUGCCUCCGGCACAGCUGUCGGCUCCACUGCGGGUUUGCCUUCCCAGGACCCAGCAGGACUCGCUCCCCGGCACCGAAAAGCAUCACAAUAAAUCCCAUUUAACUCUCCAGCGCUGUUCAGUCGGAUUUUGUUUAAGCCCUUGUGUGAAGUUGAGUCCGUGCUGCAUUUUACUGUUCUUAAACCACAACAGAGACUCUGCUUUUGGUGUUUUCCAGCCACAUAUUUACUGUUCACAGUAGUAGUUUUCAUAUUAAAAUGGAGACAGGGGACUUCCAACUUCUUUUCGCUAUGGGUUUUCGGACAUUUUGCUGCUUGCUUGCCCGUGUUUUUUAAAGUCUUAGCGCGUGUGAAAUGUGUUCAUCGUGUUAGGAGUUUACGGUGAUAGAUUUAUUUUAAUCUCUAAAUUGUAGCUAUUUGUAAUUGGCUCCAAGGCCAUCUCUUUCCAUUCCAAGCGUGAAGUGGAAAGCCUGUCCUGUGAAAUGGGUUGCUGAGGCUGGAGGUUUUUGAGAAUUCAUGUUCUGAACAGCGUUUUUUGUUUGUUUGGUUUGAUUUCUGUUUCUUUUCCUCCUGCAGACCAGCCAUUUUAAGCACAGGACACAGCCUCCUAUCGCAAGAAGCACAGAUGCCUACAGCCCACCAAAAAUCCAUGCCCAGAAGACACAGAAAGAUGAAACUUUGCCAACCUGUGGUUCUGGUUUUGAAAAAUCACUGUGAUAAUCCACAUCUGAUAAUUCAUCCCCAAUAUCUAUCAUUGUGAGGUUUAAAACUCCAAACGCUGGAAACACUCUUAAGCAGGUGCUUAGGCUCAGCUCCAACAGCCUCUGGAAUCCCUUGAGAGCGGUAGAUUCCUGCGUAGAAAGGAUGAUGUUCUGUUGUUUGUGAGAAUUUGUUUUUAAAUGAUUUUUUAGUAUGUUCAUUCCAGGGCUCUGGACUUUCAGAAAUGCUGUGUCUGCUCAGCCUAAGGACAGCAGGUAAGUUAAAUAUAUGAAAAAGUAAUAGAAGAAUGCGUUGUAAUAGUGUCCCUUCCCAUCGGAUGAGCUGAGCGGCAGCUGCUGCGGUACCAACCCGAACCCUUGGCUUUGGUGAAACAAACAAUCUAAGCUCGUUUCAUGCCAACCUCUGCAUUUUGCAACAGAAAUGAAGUCAAAUGAACUGUUGUUUUCUCGAAUUCCCUUCUCAGAAAUCCUUUGCCGCUCGCUGUUUGGAGCCAGGGCUGUAUCCUGGCUCUGGAGCGCCCGUGCUGGGAUACAUGAGCUUCUCUACUGAUUUCUCUGCUAAAUUUAAGAACUGUUGGUGAUCUGCUUUGUGAUUGUUACAGAUGCUCUAUUUUAUUUAAUUGCUAAUGUCACCUUUCGGUAUUUUCCUCCAGUAUCUGGGAGCUGAGGGGCACUUUGGAUGACAAAGGCACAGAAAUACGGACGGUCUCUCGGCAAUAGCCACUAGAUGGCAAAACAGACACUUUGUGCAUCAAAAAUAUGUAGUGACAUCCUCGAUAAAACAACGUGCCUGUGCUUUCCCAGUGGCUGUUAUAAGCUGCUUCUAUAAAUAUAUACAUUUUUAUAAGCUGUUUUGGCAUGUUUGGAUACUACACACGAAGAAUCUUCAGUUUAAAAGUCUGUAAAUGCUCCCAUUCUCAGUCACAUCUUGGUCGUUCAGGGGCUAAGCCCACCCAGAGUAUUUUAGCAGAAGAAUUUGCCGUACCAGAGAGUUUGAAGAGAAUAAUGCACUAAACAGCCCUGUGAGAGUGUUAAUAAAGCUGUGGCAGACCCGACUCACCUGUUAAUCACAGUUUGGAUGUUGUUUCCCUUCUUAAAUCACAGAAGGCUCAAAGACCUGGGACCUGUUCAGGACAGAGGCUUUGUAAAUACUUUUUUGUAUUUAUAACCAUGUAAAUGAAUAUUUGAGAAUAGUCUCUGCUCCAAAUAUUUUACAGGCACAAGCACUAGUCUCGUUAAGAAACUGAGGGGAAACACAGACACUCCGGGCAUUUUCUGAAGCCUGCGCUUACAUUACGCUGUUUGUUGUGCUGACUCUAUGAGAUUUUGUCCUCUGUGGAGUCUGUCCCUGUGCUUUUCCCUACUGGAGACGUCUCAAGUUACAGAUUUCCAUCGUGGUCUGGGUUUUCUUGUUUUCUCAAUAGCUUUCGGGGGCCCUCGUAGGGAUGUUUCCAGUUCGUUCUCUCUUGUGACAGUAAAGAUCUUGGCUGGCUCCCUUCAGACAACGUUCACACAUCCAAAACUGUCCUGCCCUCGUUGUCCUGUUCCCUGACAAUGCUGUUUGCACCGUACUGCUCUGCUGAUCGUACCUUUUUGGGUUGUGGCAUCUCUUCUUCAUAGGUGCUGCAGGUGGAACUGCACACCUGGGUCCUACCAUGGGCCUUCAGUGGCAAGUGCGUUCCCUCUCCCAAGAUUGUGCUUGGAAGAGCAGAUAACCUCUUUUUCCCCAAAACUAUGAUCUAAAAUAUCAUUUUUUGGAAUGUAGUGGGAACCUCCUGUUCUGGAAUGAUGAACUAAGCAGAACUAGGUUUCUUCUGCUUCUCUGUGUCUCUGGCAGACUGGACAUUAAAGUCUACAUAUUAAACUUAGGCACAACACCAAUGACAAUAAGUCAGGUCUAAGCAGAAAUGGGGGAUGUGAAUCAGAUUUUUGAGCAGUCAUUUAUUAUCAUUUAUUAUAUUUAUUAUAUUACCAUUUAUUAUAUCACUGGCCUUCUGAAUGGAAGGCUAUACAUAAUGCUAUGGAAAACACAACAUGAUGCUGGUCACUUCAGCAUCAUAAUGUUCAUAUGGCCACACAGAGAUUUCACGAAAUAUCGGAAGUCUUGAUUUUGCUAAAUUUAAGUACUUGCCUUCAGAAUCUUAGUGCUGAUAUUCUAAUAUUUGUAUUAAUUAUUCCAUUUGUAGCUCUUGUGGCUUCGAGCAGUUCUGGCGGUUUCAAUGGCAAUGGAUGUGGUGAAGGUGGGUCUCCCGUUGCUGCUGUCUGGAGGCUUCGCGGGUGGUGGAAGGAGAGCUGGAGGUCUGGAAAGUGCUGCUGGGCACCAUCCUGAUUUCUGAACAAAAAGCACAGGGUGCUCAGAGCUCAGUUUAAGCUGCUCACCAUGGUCCCUUGGGUGCCUGCUCAGGUCAGGCCUGGAGCUACCGGGUCCUGUUCCCAUAAACAAUUUGACUAUGAUUAGAAAAAACAAAUGUCCCCAAACCCUUCUUGUGACACGAUGGUUUUGAGCUGUAAAAGUUGACUCCCUGGGAUGUCCUUUGUUUGCAACGAUUUCCCAUGAGGCAAAAGAAAAACAAACAAAAACCUACAAACCUGCUAAUGGAGUAACAACAUAUUUCCCAAGAAUGUUAAAUAUAUAAUAAUAGAGCUGGAAUUACAACAGGUGGGCAACAUGUCUUUGAUAGACAUGAGAUACAUGAAUAGCCGUGUAAUACAACUUGCUGGUCCCAGUUUACAGCAAGGGUAAUGUAUUUGUUAUUUUAUAAAGGGUUAAUCAAUGAUUAACAGACAUUACAAUUACUGGUUAAUUGAUUGUUGUAGACAGUUCACACAUGGCUUGCAGCUAUCUAUAACAUUGCAUUCAUGCUGUAACGUAUUUAUAGCAGUUAUUAAUCAUGCACUAGUGUUUUUUAAAUGUUCUCAUUUUAUUAGGUGUAACCAAAUUUUCAAUAGCACAUCAGUGAACUUGAGUUCUGCCUUCACAUUAGCAAAAGGGAAAAUAUAGAAAAGCAGUUAACUCGGCCUUGCUUUCUUUAAUUUGAGGAAACCAUCAGCUGCAUGAAUUGGAGGCACUAUCACAUUAUGAAAGCAAUUUUAAGUAAAACAUGCCAUUUAUGGAAGGAGCACACUUAAAGAUUUUUGUAAUUACAAAUAUUUGUACUGUUAAGUGAAUUGCAUUACAGUACUUGUUGUUGCUUUAUUUCCCUGGAGGACUCUUCUGUAGUGGGAGCUUUGUUAUGCUGAUAAAUGUGCCUGAAAGCUUUAUAAUGUACUGAUGCAUUGUAAUGAUAAAUAGAACUGGUUAAGUAGUAAAGAUCAAACACACAAUUAAACAGACUGUAAUAUACAUCUUGCUGAGCAAGGGAAAACAAUAGUGGAAUCAGUAAAGAUGGAUACAAAUGGUUUUAUUGAACUAAGCAAAAAAUAUUCUCUUAUGCCUACAAAAUGAGGAAAUCUGGCCUGAUACUUGCAUGAGCAGACUUAUAAAGUGCUUAAUCAGAUAUAAAAUAUUUUUAAGAUGUUCAGCAUUUCUAAUCAAUGGACAGGGCUUUCUCAGACUGUCCAGAGUAAUAGAGAUGUGCAACAAAGCAGAGGUGAAGCAAAUCAGCGCAGCAUGGGGUUGCUGGGAGAGGAGCCUGGGCACAGCAGGCAGGGCUCGCAGCUCUGACCCAGCAGGAAAUGAACAAAAACAUGUUGCACUUGACAAAAAUAAUAGAACGGAAUAUUGGCAGCACCUGCUUCCAUUGUCCAGAAUGUCCUUUCCUAGAACCUUUCCCAGCAGGGAGGCUGGUUUGCACAUGGCGAGGCCACAGAGGUUUCACACUUCUUAGUGCUGUUUGCUCUUCCAAAUACCAGGAGAAAAUGUGAUUCAGAAGGGGCAUGCUGGAAGAAGGAAGAACGGCUGUGCAUUACUUGAGAGUCACAAAAAUAAACCUCUAACGUGAAGGCACCGAGGGGGACUUUCAUUCAAAACCCAGAGCAGCAUCUGUGCAACCUGUUUGCAGAUUAUCCUUGUGCAUUCCAACUUUGAAUUACUCUGAAGGGUGUUCUAAGUGAAUUUCCUUUACAGGGGUUACCCAUAGCCAAGCCAGGGCAAGAAGAAUUUCAUAGCUCAUUGUACAGAUGCUAUGGUGAAAUAACUCCUAGAGGAGUUAGAAUUAGGCAGGGUGUAACAGCCAGAAGAAACGCUAAUUCUCCUGGAUUGACUUUAUGCGAGCUCUUACCCUACACAGUGCUUUGCCCACCUGGAAUAGCAUAAGCUGUUUAGAUUCCUUUGCAGGAUCUGGGUAUUAGCAAGGCUCAGGGGAGAGACCAAAUCCUGCUUCACUGGUGCCAACUCCCAAAACCCUUAAGCCUCGUGCACACUGGCCAAUUAUCAUGUAAAAUCCCCCUGGUGCUCACCAAGUUCUCCUGUACCACCAGGAACCACCUAACAGACGAAAAGCAUCCAUUUGCAACGUGGCAAAUGUAUUUCCCAAGGAUGUACAGCAUGAAGCAUUCCAGCCAACAAACCCGUUAUUUCUAAUUUACCAUGUGUUGUUAACUACGAAAAGAUUUGCGUGCCCUCCAGGAAGCUGGGCUUAUUUAACGAGAAGCAGGGGAGCUGUAAAUGCUUCCAACUUCUGUAGUUUAAGAGAAAAAGGAGUGGCCAAAGGAGGUGGUGUCCCCCCAUGCAUCUGGCUUCUCACAACCCGGGCUACAGGUGUUGCUCGAUGCAAAGAGGAAUAUAUAGGAGUUCUCAGGAAUAUACACAGUAAAAGAGCUGGUUUCUUCUUUGUAAGAAAACUUAUUUCUUCCCCAAGAACUGCAUGUCACUCCGCCGAGAUAUUUAGAUGUCUAACUGCCACUUAGGCACCUAAAUACCUUUACAGAUUUGGGCUUUGGUCCUAAUUGUGUUGCUGCAGUCCACGAUGUCCCCAGGUUUGCACGACAGGCACCAGAUCGGAAUAGACUGCAGAGAGAAGCACAGCCCAGCAGCCACUGGCUUUGAUUUAAUUGGGUUGAGCUGGUUUAUGGUCCCUCGAUAUACGUAUUUUUUUCCUCGUUGAAAAAAGGAUGUGUCUGCCAAGGCCGGAACGAAAGCGGGAGCUGUCUGGAGGUGAAAUUGCAGACUGACGGGGACAACCCUGCUCGAUGGGAAGUAGACUCCGAAGGGUUUUGUGAUGUCUGUCGGUUUAUGCCAUUUCUCCGUCACCGAGUUUGCAGUCCAAAGAUUAUUUUGGAUGCCUGCCUAUUCCCAGAAGCUCCGCGUGCUCAGAACAAUUUCAGCUCUGCAUUAAGACAAUAAUUAUAAUCGAAUCUCAUGCUCCGCUGCCUCGGCCAGUCACCUCCAUGGAGCAGAUGGGAAGGGGACUUGGAUCAGCAAGGGUUUUCCCUCUCGGUAUACAACGGGUCUGAUGUCUUCAGAAAAGGCUUUUUGGUUUUUCCCUUUGGCUCCCCUCUGCUUCCCUCAUGGCAUCAGGGACCAGCUGCAGCUGGAAAAUCAUGGACAGGGUUUGAAGUACAGCGAAGGAGACAAUUAUUUUGUCUGCUGCCUGUCUGCUUUGCCUUGUUCAGACACUCAGGCUGCAGAGAAAUCCAGGCUGGGAGCAGGCAGGGAAAGCAAAAUGGUUUUGUGGUAGCCCCUUCUGCAUCUGCAGACCUUCAGUGACAGAUCUGAGACCUGCCUCUGAGCUCAGCCUGGUUGGUUAGUCCUGGUUCUACACUCCCACAAAGCUUAGAUCAGUCGUUAAAAGAUUAGCCAUUGACCUGCAAAUAGGCGUCGUGAUGUCCUGCCUUUGCAAACGGGGUUGUAAGAACGUGUGGAAGUUGCUGCUGGUGUUGACCGUGCAACGGUAAACUGUUUGAUCACCUGGGUAAACUGUUCAAUUACCUUGUUCAGCAUGAACGCAGGGGCAGACAUAGGUGGUGAGUUCACCACGUUGGAAAGCUGUUCCUCAAAGCAUCCAUCCCUCCAGCUUCCUCUGCAAGCCAGGUUUAAGGUGAGAUGUGAUUAAAUCUCUUUUGUUGGAUGGUCCCUCUGUGCUUUGCCACCUCGAUCCAAAAAGUAGGAGGGCGCCUGCUCAGCUCUGGUGCCAUCUUGACCCCCUAAAUGGUGUGUUAGGUCUCUAGAAAAUUACAAACUGAGGAAAGAGCUGUCUUUGGGAAAACUUUCCUGGGACAGGGACAAAGCUGCUGAAUGGACUGUGUGCCUGUUUUAAAACACACACCUCCACUGCAUGUUGGGUGGUUUCAUUAACAGCCAGUCCUGUGUCACUGCGGUGUAGUGGUUGCUGCAACGCUUGAGCUAGAGGAGCAUCUCGCAAUGCCCCUGUGCAUUUGUGCUCCUGAAACAGGCCUGGAGCAAGGAGCCACUGCUUCAACGGCGUGUGUUUGUUUAUUUUGUUGUUGCUGUUGUUUUGUUUGUUUGUUUUUAAUUUAUUUUCGGCAAUGUCUGAUGAUUUCUCAUUGGUACUGUAGCUGUUCUAUAUUUUUUUCUCCAUUUUGGCUUAUUAGAGCAGGAAAUUACAUGUAAACGUUAUGUGGAAUAGCUGCUGAAUGUUUGAAUUUUUACUGCGCUCUCAUGCUACAUCUUUAGACGUCACUGAUUUUUCUUCCCCCUGCUUUUUUUCCCUUAAAGGCCGAUGAGGCUGACUGUGGCUUUGUGCGUUUCAAUAGAUACAGAGAUUGUUACCACAUCCUGUUUUAUCCCGUGACUGCUAUUAAAGAGAUAGUUGUUCUCCCGAAGGUGAUUGCAGUGAUUGCUGUCAAAAAAACAAGCUCUAUGCAGACUCUUUUCCCAGAUUUGGGUUCUUCACCAAAUUUAUGAUGGUGUUUUAGAUCUGGACCCUCGCCUUGUUCACAUGGCCGGCUGAUUCACACAGGCGCCUCUGGGGAGUAUUUAAGAACUGUUGUGUGUUCACAGGAAAGGGGCCGGCAGCACCCACAUGACAGCAGAGAACUGUAUUUAUCCAGUGACUCAAAAGCCCUGACUGGACAAAGUCUUUGGAGAUUUUGCAAGACCUUCAGGGGUGAGAUUCCCUUUUAGAAACCCAGAGAAUUCAGUUCAAAAAGGACAGUGAACUGCUGGAGAGAGUCCAGUGCAGAGCAAUGAAGAUGAUGGAGUGGAGCAUCUCCAGUGUGAGGAAAGGCUGAGGGAGCUGGGGCUCUGGAGCUUGGAGAAGAGGAGACUGAGGGGUGACCUCAUUAAUGGUUAUAAAUAUAUAAAGGGUGAGUGUCAGGAGGAUGGAGCCAGGCUCUUCUCGGUGACAACCAAUGGUAGGACAAGGGGUAAUGGGUACAAACUGGAACACAAGAGGUUCCACUUAAAUUUGAGAAGAAACUUCUUUUCAGCGAGGGUGCCAGAGCCUGGCCCAGGCUGCCCAGGGAGGUUGUGGAGUCUCCUUCUCUGCAGACAUUCCAACCCGCCUGGACACCUUCCUGUGUAACCUCAUCUGGGUGUUCCUGCUCCGGCGGGGGGAUUGGACUGGAUGAGCUUUUGAGGUCCCUUCCAAUCACCAGGUUGCACUCUGCAAUCCCAAAGAGGUGACCAGUGAGCUGUGCCCCAGGGAUGGAGCUGAUGCAGACACCUCCAGGAGAUGUUUACGGACGUCUAAUCAAUUAUUGCAUUGUUAGCUUUCUUGGCUUUGUCGGCCAGGCAAAGCUCGUGGGAUCUCAUGUUUAUUCCAGCGAGGAGGAGAAAAUGAUGACACCAAGGAGGAAUGCAGCUCUCGGCCAAGGCGAUGGGCAAGCUCCCUUGCUGCUCAUCUUCAGCAUGUCAUCCCCACACGUGGUCACACCAGCUUGCCAGCCUCCUCCUCCUCUCCCAAAUUCUCCCGUCUCCUGCUCCUCCCUGUCCACAGCCCCCCAGGCUCCCCACGUGUGCUCCCUAUGUGUCUGCAGUGCUGCCGUGGGGAUGUGGGGAGGGGAAACUGCUAAACCAGCAGCAUCCCUUCGUGGAGGAGAUCAGCUAUUUCUUGCUCUUUUCUUAAACAGCGUGCAGCAGGCUCACAUCCACGCUCCCAGAAGCAGCUGUCUUGAUGAAUAUUUGCCCAAAUCAUUAUGCUAUCUAGCAGUUAGCCUGCAAAAGGGCCCAGCACCAUUUGUAUGGUAAUGGAAGGCUUUCUCAGAAAUGUUUUGGAAGCAAUCAGCUAAACUAAUAGGAUUUUAUGUAAACCAAUCUCUUCUUUUAGAUCAGGGUUGGGUUUUUUUCUUUUUCUGGAGAGGAGGGUAAGGGCUUUUUAAUAAAUGCAAAUUGAUAUUCCAAUGAAAAUGGAAAUGAGAGAAAAAGUUCAUCGCUGGGGUAAAACGUUGUGACUUCGCUCCAGCAGCAGAGUCGUGUGUGAUUCUCUGCACAUCCCCCAGCAGCCACAUCGAAUUUCUGAUGUGCUGAGGCAAGGUGCAACGAGGAGAAAAGCUUUCUUCCACUUUCAGACUAUUAUAAGACAUAGACCAGGUUGGACUUUCCAUCUUUACAUCAAAGCUGCACUGUAGGAGGUUUUUCCAGUCCUGAACCUCUGCAAGAAGGUCAUGGCAAGUGUUCACAGAGAGGAUGAGCAGGCUCAGACUGUUGUUAUUUCUCAUUACUGCCUUGAAUCAGCAGCUCUGGUGCUCUGUAACUUGAGCUUUUUGUACCUCUCCAGCAGGAUCUAAGAAAAGUAAAGGAUGAGAAGCACUCAGAAAUCUGAUUUAUGACGUGUGUUUGAAGCUUUGCUUUUAAGAUAAGUGCUUUGCACUGGGAAGUUGCUGACUGCAUCCACCUACUACCAAGGGCUUUUGCUGCAAACCCCAAAUGUUUUUGCACUUGGGACACAGCUGAGGUGACUUUCUUGGCCCUGCUCCCACUUGUCGUGCUGUAAAAGGGCCUGACACGUGACAGCAGACCGUCUGCGUGGAGCGUGGGCUGGCUGGGAUUGCUGCGGUCAAUCAUAAACUCUGACCAGUCUGUAGACAUGAUGGUGGUGUUCGAAGUGCUGUUUGGGGAGACUCAGGCCAAUGAGGGUCAGGCAUCUGGAAGGGUUUCAGGUGAGAAACUCUCACCUUACAAUGAUGAACCUGAAUUUGGAGCAGCAGGAUUUGGUGUUUGUCAAUGUUGUGUAGCAAAGGACAGCAAAGAGACCUUGGAGAGGCGGUGGAGAGCACCCUCCAGCAGCAUGUGGACAGCAUGGACAGGCCAAGCAUCAGCCGGGUGGGGUUGUACACCCACGAGCCGUGUCACAGGAUGCUGUUUGAACUUGUUAACAGUGUAAAUGUGUCAAACAAACAAGUAUGCGGGAAGUGGCGCAGUGAAUACUUGUUUUACUCAUUUAUUGUUAGGUGACACGAGCAAGGUAUGCAUGCCACAACGAGGAACGGCAAAUGUGCUGAGAUGGCAUGCGGUCCCUUGGAAAGUCCCAAAUGUCUUGCACAGGAGGUGGAGAAAAACAGUGAUUUUCUACUGUUCUAGGCUUGAUCUUGUGUCAUGCCGUGACAGGAACAGGAGGCAGUCUGGUGUCAUCGGGAGCAAUGUGUUUUGAUUAAGAGAGUGGAGCAUUUCCCUUAUGAGGAAAGGCUGAGGGAGCUGGGGCUCUGGAGCUUGGAGAAGAGGAGACUGAGGGGUGACCUUAUUAAUGUUUACAGAUAUAUAAAGGGUGCGUGUCAGGAGGAUGGAGCCAGGCUCUUCUCGGUGACAACCAAUGAUAGGACAAGGGGUAAUGGGUUCAAACUGGAACACAAAAGUUUCCACUUAAAUUUGAGAAGAAACUUCUCAGUGAGGGUGACAGAGCCUGGACCAGGCUGCCCAGGGAGGUUGUGGAGUCUCCUUCUCUGCAGACAUUCAAACCCACCUGGACACCUUCCUGUGUAACCUCAUCUGGGUGUUCCUGCUCCAUGGGGGGAUUGCACUGGAUCAGCUUUCCAGGUCCCUUCCAAUCCCUGACAUCCUGCGAUUCUGUGAUUCUGUGAUUCUGUGAUGGGGCAGUGGUGGCUGAGGAAAGCAAGUAGCAGUUGGUACUUUAUCGCACUAACACUGAGCUCAAUCUCCUGCCCUGGCCUACCAGCCUCUUUAAUCAAUUUCUUGUCCUGCUGUCGUGUCUGGAAGUUGGUACCCAAGGUUCAGCUCGAGGUGUGCUCCUAAACCACCUGGAGAAAAAAGAUGGGUGUUCAUCCACAAUGUCCUGGCUUUUAUAGCUUCUUGGUUGAAAAAUACCUUCCUCUCCCCAGCCACUUUUUCCUGACUCUUCAUCGGUGCAAAGACAGCUAUCGGUGGUGCUACUCUGCAACCAGAUUGCUGAAAUGAUUUGAGGUAAAAAUUCUUCAAAGAAAUAAUUCUGAAGGUUUAUUUUUUAGCAUAUGCCACAUCAUUGUCAAAGGCUGGUAUAGAAUUCCUUCAUAGUAAUUCCUCCUUUGUGACGGAUUCACAGAAUGUGACAGAAAGACCUUGCCCAAGUUUUGGCCAUAUGCAAAAAGACAAGGUCUGAUCAGUGUCCUAUAAUGUGAAAACAAAGAUCUGACCUAUAAAUAUGCCUGGUGAGUUAUUAUUAGGCUUACCUGAAAAUAGUCUAGUUUUCCAACAAUAGAACCCAACUUUUCAACAAGAAGAGUUAAAUCUAAGAUAUUAAAUAUGCAUUUAUUCAAAUAUAUUUUCAUAUUUGAAACCAUGUGGAUCAGUAUGAGUAGCUUCAGAGGAAAGAACAUGUGUUUUUACGGAGUGUGACCUUUAUUGAAACUCCUUAACUGAGGACUGUCCCAAGGGAGCAAGAGAAGAGCGUGGUGCUUUGGUAUUCCACAUUCGUGGUUAGAUGCUUUCCAGAUAUAGUACUGCAUUUCCAGACAUUGCAGCUAACGUCAACUAGGUUAUUAAACUGAAUAUUUAAAUUGUUACAUGGUUUAAAUACUUUGUGAGUUUGGGCUACGUUAAGUUUAUAUGUGUAAAAAAGUCAUUCUUAAAUUACAAAAUCAAGCAGCUUUUGCUUGCAUGACAUCUCAAUCCGUUCCUGGAGAUCUAUUAACCAGGGCCUUGGAAAGUUUGUUUAAACAAUUCAGUCUCUGAUUUAUGGAAUUUAUUGAAUGCUAUAAUCUCUGCAUUCAAUAAAAAUACUACUGAAGUUUCAAACUAUAUCAGAUUUUAUGUCUCCUAAGAAAGAAAAUGAACAGAGUAUAUCCAGAAAUAAAUCCUGAUACUUACAGGGAACAUUAAAAGCAAUUUUAAAACCAAUCAGCAAUGUUCAGUUGAAAAAUUCUUCGAUGGAAAUUGCAGUUUCUGCAAAAAAUAAUAUUCCAGCUUUUAUUUAUAAAAUUGAAACAAGAUCUUUCACUGUGGUUUUGAUCUACCAUAAUAAUAAUAAUAAUAAUAAAAAUCUCUUUUUGAAAAUGAAUCCAAACUCUUUUGGGGGUGGCUGCCUUCAGUUUAAGCUCUUGUGCUUCAGUUGGCUCCUGUCAGCUGUGGAUCAAUGCCAUUUAUAAAUGGGGUUUGCCAGCAACGCAGGGACCGUCCUGGAAACUUCCCUUCCUGCUGCCUUUUCCUUACAUCUCUAACUCCCUGCUCUCAGUUGUGUGAAUUGAUGAUGUGGGGAAGGAAUUUUCUGUUAAUCAGCCGGUCACUGACAGAAACACCUGAGGUGUUUGUGCUUUUCAUCAUGGCAGGAAUUUUGGAGGAAAAAAGUCAACCACAAGUCUUCCCAGCGGAAGGGAGAACCAAGGAAGGGGUGAUGUUCUCCAAGUGUAAUAAGCUGCUUACACACUAGUAAGGUUUUGUAUUUGAUUGUAAGUUUUAAAACUUGAAUCCAGGUAUGGUUGUGCUGAAGACCCACAAUAAUAAGAAUGUGUGUUGCUCAGAACAUCCAUCUUUAGAAAUGUUGAGAUCUUUUUCCUACUUGAUUCAGCAUUUGUUUCUCUUUGAAUUUUCAAGGUGUUGAGUUGUCCUUGUCUAGUCUGACCACCUCCCAGCAUAAAAGACAUCUCUCCUGGUGCAUGAUGGUUACAGAACUCCCAGUAUAACCUGAAGUCAUUCCUCUGACUGGAAGGAACCUGCACAGUCCACACAGAGAGCCUGGCCAGCAGACACAGCCAGAGAUGUGAAGCAUCCUCUCCUUGCUUCUCCCUUCCAAUGGGAAGGCUUUUGUCAUAGCUUAGAUGAAAAAAGGUACAAGAUGCUCCUACAGGCUGGAAAGGCUCCUUUUUAAUGAAGGAAUUACUCAAAUCAGCACAUCCUGCUGACCAUGAGACAAGCUUCUCUUCCCUGUUUUCUUCAUGUGAUAUUGAAGCAAUUAAUAGAAUAGAAUAGAAUAGAAUAGAAUAGAAUAGAAUAGAAUAGAAUAGAAUAGAAUAGAAUAAUUUUAGUUGGAAGAGACCCUCAGGAUCAACCAUAACCUAACCUAACUCUGGCAUUAAACCAUGUCCCUAAGAACCUCACCUAUAUGUCUUUUAAACCCCUCCAGGGAUGGUGACUCCACCACUGCCAUGGGCAGCCUGUUCCAAUGCCUGACAACCCUUUCUGUGAAGAAUUGUUUCCUAAUAUCCAAUCUAAACCUCCCCUGGCACAACUUGAGGCCAUUUCUUCUUGUCCUAUCACUUGCUACUUGGGAGAAGAGACCAACGCCAGUAUCCCAAAGGUUGCAAUUGCAAUAUCUUUGAAUUCACUUACCUCCUACCUAAUUUUCUUCUGCCAUAGUAUAAGUUGCUUAUACUUGUGACAGAUCUAGUUCCUGGCCAUGUAAACUCCAUUGAUGAUCGAUGGAGAUGGAAUCAUGUCAUGUCAGAGCACUUCAUCCCAUUCUUAGUGGGAACCUGAGAGUGUCAUGUACGGCCAGACACCUACACUGCAGAUGUUGGUGUCUGCUGAGAUGGAGAUACUCUGUUCCAUGGUGUCUUUUUAUCCCAGCUAUAGCUGAUUAGAAGAGGGUUGAACAAGUCUUUUAAAUUAUCCACCCCCAAAUUACACAGUAAAGUUACAAAUUCCAUAACACUUUCCUCCUUUUUUUUCUUGUAAAGCAAUUAUUAUCCUCUCUUAAUUAAGUAGCCACAGAUUCCAAGGUGUGUUGAUAACAGUUUUUCGGGUUGUCAUUCAUGCUCUGAUCAUGUAUUAAUGACUUUCUCAGCUGUCUGAAGAGCUUGCCUGUUUAAAGUAUUUUGGAAUCCAUCCACUCCAGCUUUUCUCUAGAUUUUUCAUGGCAUUCAAAAGCACAGUUGGACACUUACCCUGCUUAGUGGAGCCCUCAAUUUUGUUUCCAUCUGGAAUCACGCACCAGUACUUGUGGGGCAGUUAACUGGGCCAAAGACAGUAUUAUGGAACUGAUCCUCCAAACUUGGUGAAAAUCUGCUUAAGGGGGUAAGUUGCAGUUGAACACAUUUUCAGAAUUUCUGUCUUUUUGGGUUGUAUUUUUGCAGGAACACUAGAUUUUAUUUCAACAGUUUCCACUUCAUUCAUGCAUAAUAUUUAUCUUGCAUAGAGGACAUAUUCUACCAGUGUCCAAGUGCAUCUCUAAAGCAGGUAAAUGUGAUUAAUUUAAUAUAACAGUAGACAGCAAGUUGAUGCUAUGGUCCACAGCCAGCCCUGACUGAUUAGUUGAGUUUGUACAGGGUUGUAUAAUGUCAUGUUUCAUCUUAUGUAAGUAUUAAGCGCUGAUACAUGUGUUGCAUUCCCAAUAGUGCCUUAUUUUUAACCUGUAUUUUAAACUUAUUUUAUUUUAUUGAUCUUGAUAGUAGUGUUUCAUGGAAUCCUAGAAUAGUUUGGGUUGGAAGGGGCCUUCAAAGGUCAUCUAAUCCAACCUCCUGCAAUGAGCAGGGACAUCUUCAAGUAGAUCAUGUUUCUCAGACAUUGGGAUCUUGGUUUUUUUAGUGCAUUUAUUGAAGUAAGUCCAGUAUGAAGAUAGCUGAUAAAACAAGCAGCCAUUAAGUGGGCAAAACCAUAAUGUCUGUCUAACCUCAAGUACUUUUACGACAACUAACACCAGAGGCCAUAUCUAUCAGAUGUGAUGUGCAGGAGCUGUAGACAGCGGGACCAGAAACCUGGGUCCAGACUGCCUCUUUGUAUUGCACAAGUGUGCUCCUACUUACGGUAUAAGACAGGAGCAAGGACCUGACUUAGAUUGGCUGCUAUAUGUCUGACGGUAUCAUGUCAACAAAACAGCCUUGGUUCUUUCCUAAAGGCUUCGACACAGGGAGUAGAGAAGAUGUGGGAUAUCUCUGCAACGGAGACACAAUAGCUUGAGGGCUACAGGUGAUACAUGGGGCACAGAGUACACUGGACUUCAGGCCACCUGUUUGUGUGGUUAGAUACAGCUGUGUUGUAGAAAUGAAGCCAAGGUGGCUGGACCAUACAACAACAGCUCAUCCUACAGCACCUUUGGGAGUCGGGGAAUUGCUGCUCCCCAAAUGAGUAUGAAUGACUUUCUGCAGGGUCAUCUAGAGGUGUGAAUUCUGUUUUCUCAAGUCAUCAGUAUCAGCAGGACCCCAAGAGUGUUUGACCUCAUUCAAUGCACAUAACACUUAAGGCCAUCAUCUGUAUUAUGCCCCAAGAGAUGGUGUAAAUGUUCUAUUGGCAGGUGUGUUGCCACAAUCUAUUAGGGCUGGGUUGUAUUUGUGAGGCUUUAUAGAAAAUGUGUCUGCUGUGGAUUUUUUUGGCCUUUAUUGUAUUCACCCACCCCAUCUGUUAUUUUCCUGAAGGAGAAACUUGCAUGAAUCAUCUGAUGACCAUUUUAGAAAGAUUCAGCUGUGGGGUUGAUAUUCCAGUUUGCAGAGCAGGGCUGGUACUGCAGGGAUAUAUCAUUUCAGUAUUUCAAACAGCUGCAGCCUUCUCCACUGACUCGGAUUUAUAGGAGUGAUGAAAUGCUCUAGCAUUUCCAUGCACUUCUAGGCUGAACCAGAAACACUAAACACUAAAUACUAAACACUAAAAUCUGCCCUUCGUGCUAUUGACAUUUACAGCGCAAGUUCCCUCUCAGCCAAACCCCAAGCCUAAAUUUCAGAGUGGUUUGUUAAAUUUAAAGAGACAUCGAGGAGCUGAGUGGAUUGGGAAUGGGAAGCAGAAGUUGCUUGGGGUUUGGUAAGUUGUCUGCUGUGGACCAUUGUGCAUGGGACAGUCCCUUGUGUACAGGGUGACCCCUUGUGUACAGGGUGGUCCCUUGUGCAUUGGACGGCCCCUUGUGCAUAGGACGGUCCCCUGUGCAUGGGGUGGCCCCUUGUGUAUGGUGGGUGGCCCCUUGUGCAUGGGAUGGCCCCUUGUGCAUGGGGUGGCCCCUUGUGUAUGGUGGGUGGCCCCUUGUGCAUGGGAUGGCCCCUUGUGCAUGGGGUGGCCCCUUGUGUAUGGUGGGUGGCCCCUUGUGCAUGGGAUGGCCCCUUUUGCACGCAACAGUUCUUUGUGAACAGGAUGAUCCCCUGUGCAUGGGGUGGUCCCUUGUGCACAGGAUGGUCCCUUAUGCAUGGGGUGGCCUCUUCUGCACAGCAGAGCUGUGCUGUGGCCGACAGGAGCAGCUCCAGCUGGGCAGCAGGUGUGCAGCAGUGGUGACCUGGUUUGGGAGCGACCUCCGCUAACCUCCCCUGCAUGCCAAGAUAAAGAUUUGCCAUAUGUCCCAACACACACUUUCGUGCCAUAAGGUCAUCUUGCAAGUGGUCUUAGAGGGAAGCUGCAUGCCUGUGGGAAAAAAAACACUUUAAAUUUCCCAGAGAAAAACCACUGCUCAAACACUUUUCUACAUGGAUAGAUAAUGUUAAAAAAAAAGGACUUCAAACAUCAGUGGUAAUUCAGUGCUGCUUGCUUCCUAGCUGUGUUAUUAAAAAGCACUUGGACACAAAGGAAGGAAAAUGAAGCAUACAGCUGAAGGUCCCAUGAAUGCUGAAUAAACCAAGAGACAAGAUGUCCUGUGCUCUCACGGCCCUGCUUGAAGCACCAUCAUAGGGUUUCGGAGCACUGAGAUGCGAGUCCUGAGAGGCUGUUAAGAAGUCCUGACUGCAGCGGCAGAAGCAGGAAGGAAUGAAACCUCAACAAGGAGCUCUUUAGCUACCAUGAAGUUUGUGUGCUCCACGGCCUUGUGAAGAUGAUGAGGCUCUAGCUCUUUCUGUCCAUGGAGAAGUGGCAGCAGGUCCAGGAAGGGAAGGCUGGUAUGGAAGUUUCUGAAUGUGCUCUUAAAAAUCUUUGAGCCAACCUGUGACAGCCAGAGGAAAAACAGGACUGGACAAGAGAGUCUGUGGUGUCAAGGCAGUCAUGUAAAGCAAUGAGGACCAUCUUAUUGCUAUGGCUGCCUGGAGAUGUUCCUUUCAAGUUGGCAGAGAUGAGCAGCAUCUAAAGCCAUUGCCUGCUACCUGCUGCUUUUCUGUUCUUACAGGUAAAAUAGAAGUACCAAGAAAAGCAACCUCAUGGUUCCGAAUUUGGGCACUUGAAAGGCUAUACUGGCAUCUAACGAGGCAUGCUCACUUUUUUUUGGAAGCAGAAUCAGUCCCGUGGCUCCAGCACACUUCAUUAAAAAGGUCUUCGGAUUUUCAUUGGAAGAGUAACCGAUGCAAGUAGGAUCUGUAAGAACAAAGGCUUCAGGAUCCUCUGCCCUUGCUGACAUCUAGGCAAUCUCCCACCGAACUGCAAGGAUCUGUUUGCCUCUGAUUUCAGAAUCACACAGGAUCACAGAAUUGACUGGGUUGGAAAAGACCUCAGAGAUCAUCGAGUCCAACCCUUGGUCCAACUCCAGUCCAUUGACUAGAUCAUGGCACUAAGUGCCAUGUCCAAUGUCAGUUUAAAAACCUCCAGGGACGGUCUUCAACUCUCUUACCAUAAAACCAGAAAGAAGAUUCAUGCUUGUUUUGGAAGGAGCACAACCACCACCUGCUGAUCCACACCACGAAUUUGGAACCUGCUCCACAGCCCUCUGAAGUUGGCAGGAAGGCACUUCUGGAUGGCAGGUGGCCCUUUCCCCCAGCAUGUUCCCCUGACGUCCUCCCACUGAGGUGCUUCUUGCAGCUAAUCAUUGGGGCUGUCGACAUCUCUUGGCCGGCUGGUGAGUAUGUGAACUACGGUUCUUGCUCUUGGCAACUACGACCGUAAUUCUCUUACGGCAGCAAUGCCAAGUCUAAAGGCAGCAUAACUGAUGGGAUGAUUUUUUGAGUGGACUCAAAGAAAUUAGCUCAGGUGUGACUAAAUUGUUCCAAUCAAGUUUGCUAAUUUUCUCCGUCUUUUUUAUUCUCUUUAUUCUCCCCCCCCCCACUUUUUUCCCCCUCUCUCAUUCUUUUGGGAAGAAUAAAGUUGCCCUCAGAUUUGAAGAAUUCAUGUGUUGAUUCUCUUUAAUGAAGCUCCAGUACUUCUAAUGAGAAACAAGAGCUGUAAUAUUUAAUGGAGAUUUUGUGAUUCUAACAAUUUUUUUUAAUAGUCUGACACUAUAUUUUCCUGCAUCUGAAAUGAAAAAGAUUGUAUGGCAAUGAGAUGCUAAAAGUUGUUAGAGAGAAGUUUCAUAGGAAAUACAGAAAUUAUUUAGAAGACAUUAGCAAUUAAUUUCUUGUUUUUUCCUCUUCGAAUUCCACUUUGAAGGAAAUGCUGCUAUUAUAGCUUUUGGCUCAACUGUUUCAUUUAUCUGGAUUGUCCUGCAAGACACAAAUAAGGAAAGAGGUGUUUCUGAUUUUUUUCUUUUUACAAACCUUUUGUUGUGAACUGCUUUUGAUUAUGAAGCCAAAUGAAGUAUCCAUUUUUGACCACUCAGGAUUAUCGAAAGGAGUGGAUCUGUGCUGUAUCUUGUCAUAGAUUUUAAACCCAAAUAUUUUAGGGUUAUUUAAUGUAGAAACUUUGUGGGCCCAACUGUCAGUUCCUAAGCACUCAAAGGCAUCUGAAAUCCUGCUGACUCCUCUUAGUCCCUCUUGGUUACUCAGGAAAAGGUCCUGUUUUUCUUCAAUGGGAGCCUUGCCUGGGCAGCAGCUUCAGGACGAAGGUCUGUCUUUUUAUUCAGCUCUCAGUUGGAGUCCGGUUGACUAAUACUGCAAGAUAGUAUUAAUACUUUGCUGUCAGAACUUGUCAAUCCAGAGAAAGCAAGUCUGACUCAUUGGAAAAUAUCCCCACGAGAAACAGACUUUCACAACUGCCUAUCUGCAUGCACGGAAAGAUAAAUGCUACGGUUCAGACUUCCCCCCCCAGAGAGAGACUGUUCUUCAGGAAAAGUCAAAGCAGACACAUGCUCGAAGUAGGCUCAACAGAUUUUACAAGAUAUGACAUAAACGACAAAGAAUUUCUCGCAGUGGCCCUCUGCAGACAGAUUUAUGGAAGAUUGAGGACUUGAGGAUUAAACUCUCUGUUGGCUGGGGUGAGACAACCUGGUUAUUCUGGCCAGCUGGAAAAAGGGACUAGUAGCAAGGUCCAUCUCAAGAAAAUUAAUCUAUUUAAAUGGUGCUAUGCUGUCUUCAGCUGGCGGUGUCGGGGUGACACUGAACAUAAACACUCACAGGUUGUGGCUCACAUUGAUAUCCUUAAGAGAACAACAAGAGGUAUGAGGAAAAUGAUCCCAGGUGUUAAAUUCAUCUCCUCAGAAACUGAACAAAGUGAGGAAAAAGUAAAUUGAAGGGAUGACUUUGUAUAGCAGGGAGCUACGCAACUAGAAGCCAUGAACAAGAUGUACCCACUCUGUGAAAUGAAGAUUAAUGCUACAUUUACCUCAAUAUUUCUGAUAUAAAAGUACACUGGGAGAAAUAUACCUCAGAGGUUUUCAUUGCUAAUGUUCUGGUUUAUAUUCCAUGCACUGCUGGUUUUCAUUUUGCAUUUUCACUGAAAGUCACAUGGCCAAACAGAUCUUUGCUGGCAUCUAGAAGAAUCAUGUGGAGAAGCAAGGAGCUGCAAGGACAGGAUGGGAAAAAUUAUGUGAGUAAAAAUAAAAGGGGAAAAAAAUCAGUAUUAUGGUAUUUUAAAAAGAUGCAGAUGAACCUUUGCUUCAUAUGACAUGCUUUCAGAUUUUUUUUUUUUUUUACAUAAAAUCACCAUGAAAAACAUGAAGAUAAUUAUCUGUACACUUUUUUUUAGGUGUCACCUGACAGAAUGUCUACAGUAUAAUUAACUUGUGGAUGCAGAACCAGAAGAUGCUAAAGAGAAACACAUUUUCUUAAAAGCAAUGCUGAUGGUCAUGCCCUGAAUAUGUUUUUAUAAAUGUUUCUUUCUAGCACAACAUUCUGUGAUUCUGUGAACUAUGGGAAAGCUGGCCCAGGUCAAUACUGGGAUGUUGAUAUUGAAAAGUCUUGCCUAAUUUUUCUUUCUGUGAGUAGUUCUGCUGUUUUCGGUGUGCCUGUCCACAGUGGUGGAGCACAGUAAAUCUGUUGAUCUGCUCCAAACUGUGCAAUGCUCUAAAUGCAUAAGAAAGUUGCAAAGAUCCACCAAACAGUAGCUCUGCAUAUAGACCCUGUACAUAGUUCCUCCUCCUACACAUGCCCCUGUAGGAACUGUUUCUCUAAGCAUCAUUCUUGGAGGCCACUGAAGAGCAGUACCCUCAUGGUGAUGCACUCCGGACACAUGCUCUUUUCUCUGGCUUAUUUCCGUGGUGGCACUACCAAAGGUAACAUACAUGGUCCUACCUACCCUGCCCCAGUCUUUCCCUCUCUAAACCACGUUUCCAUUUGUCCACCUGCCUUUACCCCAUCACAAAGGAAGAACUGCAGACUGAUGGAAAAGCUGAACUGCUUUUGGGUAAGCUUAUGAACUUCUACAUUGAUCAGGCGUACUAUUAUUUGGGGGGUUUGGGUACCUCUCAAUACCACCAUAACCCCUAAAGCAUCCCCCAUACCUCUCAGGUAUGCAGGGUUACUGCUGCAGGGGACUGGGGGGCAGCCUAAACCCAAUUUUUAUUAUUCACUACUGUUGGGAUUGGCCUUUCCUAAUGAUGUGGAAAAGGGAGAAGUCCCCAAGUCAACUUUCUGUACAGCAACAGGGAAAUGUAAUGUGCAGCAUUUCCUCCACGUGCUUAUCUGGGGGAAAUGACAUGGACUAACUAUAAUGAGUAAUUUCUUUUUGAAAAGUAUUUACAGAACUUCAUUAAAAUUUGUUACCUUCUUCUCUUCACCAAUAAACCCCAAAGUGCCUGAUGAAAAAACAUUGGUAUUACUAUCCCCAUUUUAUAAUGCAGGUAUCAAUGCCUGGGUGUCGCAUGGGCUAGAGGCUAGAAUUUCUUCAGCUGGAGUAGAGGACUGUAUUGCUUCAGAGAACUGAGUCCAGCCUUACUUAACCAAGGCCAAAGUCUGCUGGUCUCAAGAAGCUGCUUCACAUCAUUGUCUCUCUCCACUCUCCAGCACCAGACCACUUCCGCUGCAGGUUCCUACUAGGGGGGAAAAUUAGAAGUUCAACAAGAACAACUUAAAACAGGAGGAAACAAAUGAUCACGAAAACAAAAACCACACUCAGAAAAGCCUGUUGGUCAUCAUUAGGUUUUCUAGCUCUUCUUGUGCAAAGCUGUAGGAU